GGAGGGUGCAAGCGUUAAUCGGAAUUACUGGGCGUAAAGCGCACGCAGGCGGUCUGUCAAGUCGGAUGUGAAAUCCCCGGGCUUAACCUGGGAACUGCAUUCGAAACUGGCAGGCUAGAGUCUUGUAGAGGGGGGUAGAAUUCCAGGUGUAGCGGUGAAAUGCGUAGAGAUCUGGAGGAAUACCGGUGGCGAAGGCGGCCCCCUGGACAAAGACUGACGCUCAGGUGCGAAAGCGUGGGGAGCAAACAGGAUUAGAUACCCUGGUAGUCCACGCCGUAAACGAUGUCGACUCGGAGGUUGUUCCCUUGAGGAGUGGCUUCCGGAGCUAACGCGUUAAGUCGACCGCCUGGGGAGUACGGCCGCAAGGUUAAAACUCAAAUGAAUUGACGGGGGCCCGCACAAGCGGUGGAGCAUGUGGUUUAAUUCGAUGCAACGCGAAGAACCUUACCUACUCUUGACAUCCAGAGAACUUAGCAGAGAUGCUUUGGUGCCUUCGGGAACUCUGAGACAGGUGC
RNAcentral lists this ribosomal RNA (515 nucleotides) under bacterium symbiont of Megymenum gracilicorne. RNAcentral's name for it is "bacterial SSU rRNA". It matches the Rfam family "Bacterial small subunit ribosomal RNA", at positions 527 to 1041 of the family's 1533-position model. The record is from RNAcentral.